UAUAUAUAUAUAAAAGCUUGUACAGUAUAUGUAUGCAGCACUGAUUUAAGAGGCAAACGCAACAAAAACAUGACAGGUGUGUGUGUGUGUGUGAACAUUUAGGCCGUUUUAUUUGAGGCACACAUCAUAUGGAAGUCAUCUUUUUAAAAAAAAAACAAACAAAAACAUCAUCCUGAUAGACAGCGAAAUUCAGGCACUUUAUUAAAAACAUUUUCCAAAAAUAAUCACCGCUGAAUUAUUUUCUUCCCUCAAAUCCAGACUAGUGGUGAAACACGGCGUUACUAUAAUAGAGUUUACUCCUGUACGGUUCUCAGAGUAAACGAUAACCCUGUGAUGUACAUGACACUCGGAUCUCCCUGGAAAUGUUUCACCCAGCAGCGAGUUGUGUUCUUCUUCCCAGUGACGUGAGCUAAAAGGCGUAUACUGGCAUGUCUUUUCAAAAAUACAUAUAAACAUUUAUUUCCUUUCUUUCUUUUUCUUUUAAAAAAACGACUAAACCUGAGGUGGUGCACAAAAAUAUACACGUUAAAAACCCAUAAACGUUUCUGCACAGGUUCAGUGGUCCUUCCUCGUAAUACUGCUACAUUACAAACCAGGUAUAAAGCAGAUCGGUGUCUUUGGCAUGCCGGCACCGCUUCACUGAUCCGACACCACGGGCGGAACUGUGCGUCAGUGUAUUAAAAACACACCAUCUUCAAUACACUGAUCUUUUAGCGUUAAGCUAGACACGGUACAUUCAUUCACACUUUUGAAGAAAGAAAAAGCCCCAAAACAAACCACAGAGAGGUCUGGGACCCGGAAGCACUGCAGAGUUCAGCUUUCAUCGCGCCGAGGCUUUGUGCGUUAAUAAUACAGGACUGAAACCCGGCUUCGCGGAGGCUCUGCAGAACUGAAGAGUCACAGAAUAUAUAUACACUGAAAUACCCGUGAUGAUGCGUACAGUGUGCAAAACGUGAGCUUAUAGGAAGGAGUGGAGGUGAUUGUGUUCUGUUCGUUUCAAGGCAACACUGGUGAAUUUAAACGUCUGACAGGAAGUUAGAUUUCAACGUGAAAUGCUAAAACACGUGUGCGCUCGAGCGGCUCUGCUCGUUAUGCGUGUGCGUAUGUUUGUGGAGUCGCUCCGAUCCUUAUUAGACACUACAGUAUAGAAAACGUCCUGUUCUUUACACUAAUCUUCUACUUUCUGACCUGCUUCUUACCCACUCGAGCGCAGGCAGCCAGGCUAACGAACGCCCACGGGCACGGGCACCGGCGCUGGGGUGAAGAAGUGUCUUACAGUGUUAGCUGGGGUUGGUCGAGUUGUCCAUGGUGGCCAGCAGGUGGGAAACUUUGGCUCUCUGAGAUGGAGUGAUGUUCUGAGCCAUGUGGAUGAUGCAGUCCAUCGCAACCUCUGGAUUGGCCUCCAUGAGACUGUGAAACCACACACACACACACACACACACACACACACAC
Long non-coding RNA from Ictalurus punctatus (channel catfish), 1452 nucleotides. The record is from Ensembl. NCBI's taxonomy places the organism in Eukaryota, Metazoa, Chordata, Actinopteri, Siluriformes, Ictaluridae.